Molecule: ribosomal RNA, 676 nt
Filed under: uncultured bacterium
Lineage: Bacteria
Description: bacterial SSU rRNA
Rfam family: Bacterial small subunit ribosomal RNA
Source: RNAcentral
AGAGUUUGAUCCUGGCUCAGGACGAACGCUGGCGGUGUGCUUCACACAUGCAAGUCGAGCGAAUGAAGAAGGUAGCUUGCUACUUUUGGAUUUAGCGGCGGACGGGUGAGUAAUAUAUAGGAAUCUGCCCUAGAGCGGGGAACAACAGACCGAAAGGUUUGCUAAUACCCCAUAGGUACGCAGUCUUCGGAUUGUUUAUUAAAGGAGUAAUCCACUCUAGGAUGAGCCUGUAUCCGAUUAGCUAGUUGGCGGGGUAAAGGCCCACCAAGGCUACGAUCGGUAGUUGGUCUGAGAGGAUGAUCAGCCACAAUGGGACUGAGACACGGCCCAUACUCCUACGGGAGGCAGCAGUGGGGAAUUUUACACAAUGGGGGAAACCCUGAUGUAGCGACACCGCGUGAACGAAGAAGCCUUUUGGGGUGUAAAGUUCUGUCGGCUGGAACGAAAAAAAUGACGGUACCAGCAAAGGAAGCAUCGGCUAACUACGUGCCAGCAGCCGCGGUAAGACGUAGGAUGCAAGCGUUGUCCGGAUUUAUUGGGCGUAAAGAGUUCGUAGGCGGUUAUUUAAGUCUGGUGUUAAAUACUGUGGCCCAACCACAGAACUGCAUUGGAUACUGGAUGACUUGAGUGCGGUAGAGGCGAGUGGAAUUCCCAGUGUAGCGGUGAAAUGCGUAGA